AUUGAAUAAUUUAUUAUAUAGGGAAUUUUUUAGUGUAUUUAAUAAAAAUAUUUUUUUUUUUAUUAUUUUUAUAGAAAAAAUAGUUUUUAUUAUAGUUGAUUUGUAUUGUAAAAGAAUAUUUAAAUAAAUGAAAAUUUAAAUUUAUAAAAGUAAUAUAAUUUUGUACCUUGUGUAUCAGGGUUAAUUAAUUUAAUAUUAAGAAUUUAAUUUUCUCGAAUUUUUAAGAGUUAAUAUAUUAUAUAUUUUAUUGUUAAAUAAAUAUUUAAAAUAAUAUAUUAGAAGUGAAAUGCUAUUCGUUUAAAGUAUAUCUAGUUUUUUUAGAAAUAAAUUUAAUUUAGUUGUUAAAUUUGAUAUUUUUUAUUCAAUAAAAUUAUUAAUUUAAUAGUAAAUAUUUUAAGGGAUUAGCUUUAAAUUAAAUUUUUAUAAUAAAUAAUUUAAUUUUUUAAAUUUAUAGAAUUAGAAGUAUUUUUUAUUUAAAGGAUGUUAUAAUUUAUUUAGAUUGUAGAUUUUAUUUUUAUUUUAUUUAAGUUAUUUAUAAAAAAAAAUAUUUUAAUGAUAUUUAUUUUAUUAUAAUGAUUAAAUUAGUAUAUAAAUUAUGUAUAUUAUUAUUGUAUAAAUAAGGUUAUAUUAAGGAAUUCGGCAAAUAAUUUUUCGCCUGUUUAAUAAAAACAUGUCUUUUUGAUAAUAAUUUAAAGUCUGAUCUGCCCCCUGAAAAUUUAAAUGGCCGCGGUAUUUUGACCGUGCAAAGGUAGCAUAAUAAUUAGUUUUUUAAUUGAAAGCUGGAAUGAAUGAUUUAACGAGAAAAUUACUGUCUCAGUAUAAUUUUUAUAGAAUUUAAUUUUUAAGUAAAAAAGCUUAAAUAUUUUUAAAAGACGAGAAGACCCUAUAGAGUUUUAUUAAUAUUUAAAUUUAUUAAUCAUUAGGAUUUUUUUUUAUUAGAUUAAAGUAUUAAUUUUGUUGGGGAGAUAGAAAAAUUUAAUUAACUUUUUUUAUUUAUUAAUAUAGAUAAGUAUUUAUUUGACCCUUAUUUUAGGAUUAUAAGAUUAAAUUACCUUAGGGAUAACAGCGUAAUUUUUUUUUAGAGUUCAUAUUAAAAGAAAAGAUUGCGACCUCGAUGUUGGAUUAAAAUAAAUUUUUGGUGUAGAAGCUAGAAUAAUUAGGUCUGUUCGACCUUUAAAAUUUUACAUGAUCUGAGUUUAGACCGGCGUGAGCCAGGUCGGUUUCUAUCUUUAAAUAAUUUAAAUAUUUUAGUACGAAAGGACCAAGUAUUAGAUUAAUAAAUUUUUUAUUAGAAUUUUAUUGUUACUUUGGCAGAAUAGUGCAAUAAAUUUAGAAUUUAUAAAUGUAAUAAUUAUACAAG
RNAcentral lists this ribosomal RNA (1360 nucleotides) under Nosodendron sp. BMNH 840466. RNAcentral describes it as "16S ribosomal RNA". The stretch from base 1059 to 1218 matches the Rfam family "Archaeal large subunit ribosomal RNA", at positions 2542 to 2701 of the family's 2987-position model. Lineage: Eukaryota; Metazoa; Arthropoda; Insecta; Coleoptera; Nosodendridae. The record is from RNAcentral.